CAAUAGCGUAUAUUAAAGUUGUUGCAGUUAAAAAGCUCGUAGUUGGAUUUCUGGCAGUGUGACUCCGGCCGGCGUGAUGCCGGCUCGAGCGCGCUACCAUCCUUCUGUCAACCUUCGCGGGUUUUACCGCCCGCCCUGGGGCUCAGAUAUUUUACCUUGAGAAAAUUAGAGUGUUUCAGGCAGGCUAUCGCCGGAAUACAUUAGCAUGGAAUAAUGGAAAAGGACUUCAACCUCUUCUGUUGGUCUGAGAGGCUGUAGUAAUGAUUAAUAGGGAUAGUUGGGGGCAUUAGUACUUGACUGUCAGAGGUGAAAUUCUCCGAUUUGUUAAAGACUAACUUAUGCGAAAGCAUUUGCCAAGGAUGUUUUCAUUAAUCAAGAACGAAAGUUAGGGGAUCAAAGACGAUCAGAUACCAU
This 414-nucleotide ribosomal RNA is filed under the name uncultured eukaryote. RNAcentral describes it as "SSU rRNA". It matches the Rfam family "Eukaryotic small subunit ribosomal RNA", at positions 592 to 1018 of the family's 1831-position model. The record is from RNAcentral.